Long non-coding RNA from Pseudophryne corroboree (corroboree frog), 1643 nucleotides. RefSeq lists it as uncharacterized. The transcript has 3 exons. The record is from RefSeq and is a predicted model, not a curated record. NCBI's taxonomy places the organism in Eukaryota, Metazoa, Chordata, Amphibia, Anura, Myobatrachidae.
ACCCGCGACGUCACUUCCGGCGGAAGUGCUCUGCUCGUGGAGACGGACGCCGGGCCUGGGACACGGCGGCGGCGGCAGCCAGUGGGGACGGUGAGGAGGGGAAACUCAGGAGAGCUCUCUGCAGUGUACCCUUCUCCUCUGGGCACAGAAUCUAACUGAGGUCUGGAGGAGGGGCAUAGAGGGAGGAGCCAGUGCACACCCAUAGGAAAAGUUCUUUUAGGUGCCCAUGUCUCCUGCGGAGCCCGUCUAUACCCCAUGGUCCUUACGGAGUCCCCAGCAUCCUCUAGGACGUAAGAGAAAAGGAUUUACCGGUACUAAGGAGACCACAGAGGACCAUGUUCGCCAUCUGCUCAGUGCGGGGAAGGCUGGGGGUUAUCUGGAUGUGUUAAGCAGUUAUCUCUAUAAAGCUUUAAACUUGACGUGCAAUCACUGAGGACUUGGCACUGCUGAAAUCUAAGCCUACAGAAACAAUACUCCCUAAGAUUCUUCACAGCCCUCUAAAUCAUCCCCCCUAUCAGCUCUUCAUGACGUGCAGGAACUAAAAACUUAAAUAUAUUGGAAAUAGAGGAUUAGGCAAAUCCUCUCUGAGAAUGUUUCCAGUUAUAAAAAUAGUUUCAAGAUGAUCAUGGGAAAAUACAUGUAGCUACAUUUCCAAUAAAUCUAACACUACAAUCAGCAACGUUACUGAGAAAUAUAUUUUUUUUAAAUGCAGGUGAUAUAGAAAUGUUUUUCUAAUAUGUAAUACUGAGCUACAGAGAGAGAUCUGCAAGUGAGCCCUAUCUACCAUUCCUACAAUUUCUAUCUACCUAAUAGAGCCCCAAGCACUAACAGUGCAAUGUAUUCAAUUCUAGUUUUAUUAUUUAAGCCAGUGUUUCCCAAAGUCUGCAAUUAAUUACAGUCCAGGUUUUAAGGAUAUCCAUGCUUGAGUCCAGAUGGUUAAAUGAAAUUGACUGAGGUACUAUUAUAGUCACCUGUGCUAAAGCAUGGGUAUGCUUAAAACCUGGUCUGUAAUGGUGGAGUUUGGCAAAUAAUGCAAUAAGCAUUAGUUACCCCAACGCUCACUGGCCAGGGCUCUCAGCACAGGGCUAGUGUUUUCCUGGGGAGGAGGCCAUAUUUUUUGCCCUAGUGCAGAGAAUCCCAAACACGGUCCUCAAGGCACCCCAACAGUCCAGGUUUUAAAUGUAUCCAUGCUUGGCCACAGGUGACUUAAUUAGCACCUCAGUCAAUUUGAUUUAACCAUCUGUGGUGAGCCAUGGAUAUACCUAAAUCUUGGACUGUUGGGGUGCCUCUGCCCUAGUGGAUUCAGCCCUGUGUUGAUCAGGCUAGGACUGUAAUAAUUAAUGGUACACAUUUGUAAUUUAAUUGGUACAUCUUUCAUUAAUUAAUGAAUAUUACCCCAAUUAAUAUUAAAAUAUUAUUGUCUGAAUAUAUUAAAAUGUUAUUUAUGAGCAUUAUUGCCCCAAUAAUACAUUCUUUAAGUAAUCGUGUCCCAUCAAUAUAUUUAUUAUUAUUAUUUUACUUGAGUAUAAUUCAGUGACACAGUAUCUAUGAAAAGAAAAGUCCGUGUUUUUACCUAGCACCCUGUAUAAUAAAUGGGUACCAUAACAUGUGGAAUAGCAUUAAAGCUAUGGAUGCUUCUUACA